RNAcentral lists this ribosomal RNA (1201 nucleotides) under Pinus taeda (loblolly pine). RNAcentral describes it as "bacterial SSU rRNA". It matches the Rfam family "Bacterial small subunit ribosomal RNA", at positions 125 to 1381 of the family's 1533-position model. Lineage: Eukaryota; Viridiplantae; Streptophyta; Pinopsida; Pinales; Pinaceae. The record is from RNAcentral.
CCUGCCCUUGGGAGGGGAACGAAAAUUGGAAAUGACUGUUAAUACCCCAUAGGUUGAGGAGCAAAAGGAGGAAUCUGCCCAAGGAGGGGCUCACAUCUGAUUAGUUAGUUGGUGAGACAAUGGCUUACCAAGGUGAUGAUCAGUAGCUGGUCCGGAGGAUGAUCGCCACACUGGACUGAGACACGGGCCCAGACCUACGGGGGCAGCAGUGGGGAAUUUCGCAAUGGGCGAAAGCUGACGGAGCAAUGCCGCGUGAAGGCAGAAGGCCAACGGGUCAUGAACUUUUUUCUCGGAGAAGAAAAAAUGACGUUUCUGAGGAAUAGCAUCGGCUUAACUCUGUGACCGCAGCGCAAGGUAAAGGACAGAGGAUGCAAGGUUAUCCGAAUGAUUUGGGGCGUAAAGUCGUCUGUAGGUGGCUUUCAAGUCCGCCGUUCAAAAUCCCCGGGCGUCAACCCUGGACAGGCGUGGACUACCAAGCUGGGUACGGUAGGGCGAUGGAUUUCGGUGGAGCGGUGAAAGCGUUGAGAUCGAAAGAACACCAACGGCGAAAGCACUUGCUGGGCCGGCACUGACACUGAGAGGAGUAGGGGAGCAAUGGGAUUAGAUCCCCAGUGUUCCUAGCCGUAACGAUGGAUACUAAGUGCUAUGCGUAUCGACCCACGCAGUGCUGUAGCUAACGUGUUAAGUAUACUGCCUGGGGAGUAUGUUCACAAGAAUGAAACUCAAAGGAGUUGACGGGGGCCCGCACAAGGGUGGAGCUGUGGUUCAAUUCGCAUGCCAAGCGAAGAAACCUUACCAGGGCUUGACAUGCUGCGAAUCCUCCCAAAAGAGAGGAGUGCCUCGGGAACGCAGAAACAGGUGGUGCAUGGCUAUCAUCACCUCAUGCUAUAAGGUGUUGGGUUAAGUCCUGCAAUGAGCACAACCCUCGUGUUUAGUUGCCAGAAUUGAGUUUGGAAACCCGAACAUACUGCCAAUGAUAAGCCAAAGGAAGGUGAGGAUGACGUCAAGGCAUCGUGCCCCUUACGCCCUAGGUGACACACGUGCUACAAUGACCAGGACAAAGGAUCGCAACCCUAUGAGGGCAAGCUAACCUCAAAAACUCGGCCUCAGUUCAGAUUGCAGGCUGCAACUCACCUGCAUGAAGCCGAAAUCGCUAGUAAUCGCCGGUCAACCAUACAACGAUGAAUCCGUUCCCGGGCCU